AACUCUCCAAGAAGAGAAGACGGGUGCACAAUCUCAAGAUUGCGGUAAGAAUAAUUUUAUGUAUAAGCAUAUUUUUUUAAGUAGCCCAAGCUGUGUGUUUUAUAACUAAGAGGCGUUUUUGUCUUGUAAUUUUUAGGAGGCUGUACAGCGUCUCUGAGGCACACUGCAGGCGCUAUGAACCAGAGCAAAGACUAACGUCGCCUCAUAACAAAGCUGUGACCUCCGAUUUGCUUGGGGCUAUUUCAGCAAGUCCAGAUUUACUGCUGAGAAUGACGACAUUGUUUCUGCCCGUAAGACGUAUUAUGAGUCGGUACGCCGGAGUUUCAGAUACAAACAACCUGAACUCGCAUCGCAGGCGGAAA
This is a non-coding RNA of Paramisgurnus dabryanus, 362 nucleotides long. The record is from RefSeq and is a predicted model, not a curated record. Lineage: Eukaryota; Metazoa; Chordata; Actinopteri; Cypriniformes; Cobitidae.